Molecule: non-coding RNA, 148 nt
Organism: Gorilla gorilla gorilla (western lowland gorilla)
Lineage: Eukaryota; Metazoa; Chordata; Mammalia; Primates; Hominidae
Rfam family: Metazoan signal recognition particle RNA
About the family: The signal recognition particle (SRP) is a universally conserved ribonucleoprotein. It is involved in the co-translational targeting of proteins to membranes.
Source: Rfam
GCCGGGCGCGGUAGCGGGCGCCUGUAAUCCCAGCUACUUGGGAGGCUGAGGCAGGGGAAUCGCUUGAACCCGGGAGGCGGAGGUUGCAGUGAGCCGAGAUCGUGCCACUGCAUUCCAGCCUGGACGACAGAGUGAGACUCUGUCUCAG